Molecule: ribosomal RNA, 433 nt
Filed under: uncultured bacterium
Lineage: Bacteria
Description: partial 16S ribosomal RNA
Rfam family: Bacterial small subunit ribosomal RNA
Source: RNAcentral
AACGAACGCUGGCGGCAUGCCUAAUACAUGCAAGUCGAACGAGACCUUCGGGUCUAGUGGCGCACGGGCGCGUAACGCGUGGGAACCUGCCUUUAGGUUCGGAAUAACUCAGAGAAAUUUGAGCUAAUACCGGAUGAUGUCUUCGGACCAAAGAUUUAUCGCCUUUAGAUGGGCCCGCGUUGGAUUAGCUAGUUGGUGGGGUAAAGGCCUACCAAGGCGACGAUCCAUAGCUGGUCUGAGAGGAUGAUCAGCCACACUGGGACUGAGACACGGCCCAGACUCCUACGGGAGGCAGCAGUGGGGAAUAUUGGACAAUGGGCGAAAGCCUGAUCCAGCAAUGCCGCGUGAGUGAUGAAGGCCUUAGGGUUGUAAAGCUCUUUUACCCGAGAUGAUAAUGACAGUAUCGGGAGAAUAAGCUCCGGCUAACUCCGUG